GAAAGUAAAUAAGGGCGCAUGGCGGAUGCCUUGGCUCUCGGAGGCGAUGAAGGACGUGAUAAGCUGCGAUAAGCUUUGGGGAGGUGCAAAUGACCUUUGAUCCAGAGAUUUCCGAAUGGGACAACCCAAUAUCUUGAAGAGGUAUUAUCCAACGUUGUUGGAGGCUAACGCAGGGAACUGAAACAUCUUAGUACCUGCAGGAAAAGAAAAUAAACAAUGAUUCCCCCAGUAGUGGCGAGCGAACGGGGAACAGCCCAAACCAUCCAUGUUACGGCAUGGGUGGGGUUGUAGGACUACGCCGUUGCAUGAAGACAUCAGAGAAGAACUUUCUGGAAAGAAAGACCAUAGAGCAUGACAGUUGCGUAUUCGAAUGUUGUCGAAGCAUAGUAGUAUCCUGAGUAGCGCGGAGCACGAGGAAUUCUGCGUGAAUCUGCCGGGACCAUCCGGUAAGGCUAAAUACUCCCGAGAGACCGAUAGCGAACCAGUACCGUGAGGGAAAGGUGAAAAGCACUUCGAACAGAAGAGUGAAAUAGUUCCUGAAACCGUGCGCCUACAAGCGGUCGGAGCUCGUUAAUGAGUGACGGCGUGCCUUUUGCAUAAUGAACCUACGAGUUGCCUUUGCCGGCAAGGUUAAGUGUGACGACACACGUAUCCGAAGCGAAAGCGAGUCUGAACAGGGCGUAUAGUCGGCAGUGGCAGACGCGAAACCAAGUGAUCUACCCUUGGCCAGGUUGAAGGCUGGGUAACACCAGCUGGAGGACCGCACCAAUAAGCGUUGAAAAGCUUCUGGAUGAGCUGAGGGUAGGGGUGAAAGGCUAAUCAAACUUGGAGAUAGCUCGUACUCCCCGAAAUGCAUUUAGGUGCAGCCUUGCGGGUUACUGAUGUGAGGUAGAGCGACUGAUAAGAUGCGAGGGCUUCACCGCCUAUCAAGUCUUGACAAACUCCGAAUGCGCAUCAGUUCUACCGCAGGAGUGAGGGCAUGGGUGCUAAGGUCCGUGCCCGAGAGGAGAAGAAUCCGGACCACCUGCUAAGGUCCCGAAAUGACAGCUAAGUUAAACUAACGAAGUCUGACUGCUAAGACAGCUAGGAUGUUGGCUUGGAAGCAGCCAUUCAUUUAAAGAGUGCGUAACAGCUCACUAGUCGAGGAGUCGGGCGUGGAUAAUAAUCGGGUAUCAAGUUGUCUACCGAAGCAGUGGGAUCAUUAAUAUGAUCGGUAGGGGAGCAUUCCAGUCAGCGUCGAAGGCGUACCGUGAGGUAUUCUGGAGCGUCUGGAAAAGCAAAUGUAGGUAUAAGUAACGAUAAAGGGGGCGGGAAACCCCCUCGCCGAAAGACUAAGGUUUCCUGAUCAACGCUAAUCGGAUCAGGGUCAGUCGGGUCCUAAGGCUCAGCCGAACGGCGAUGCCGAUGGCAGAAACGGUUAAUAUUCCGUUACUACCUUCAGGAGUGACGUGGAGACGCAGUAGUGACAGUGCCGCCAUCUGACGGAAUAGAUGGUUGAAGGGUGUAGGAGUCGAUCAUGGCAGGCAAAUCCACCAUGAGAUCCGAACCUGACAGUAUGCCGCGUCCUUCGGGACAAGGCAAUAGUGCGCGUAAGCAUGCUGCCGAGAAAAUCCGCUAAACUUAAUCCUGCAGGUACCCGUACCGCAAACGGACACACGUAGUCGGGAUGAAUAUUCUAAGGCGCUUGAGUGAUUCACGGUUAAGGAACUAGGCAAACUGACCCUGUAACUUCGGGAUAAAGGGUCCCUACCCUUUUAUGGGAGGGCGCAGAGAAUCGGUCCAGGCAACUGUUUAACAAAAACACAGGGCUGUGCCAAAUCGAAAGAUCCAGUAUACAGCCUGACACCUGCCCGGUGCUGGAAGGUUAAGAGGAGAUGUCAUCGAUAAGAGAAGCGUUGAAUUGAAGCCCCAGUAAACGGCGGCCGUAACUAUAACGGUCCUAAGGUAGCGAAAUUCCUUGUCGGGUAAGUUC
Molecule: ribosomal RNA, 1972 nt
Filed under: human gut metagenome
Description: bacterial LSU rRNA
Rfam family: Bacterial large subunit ribosomal RNA
Source: RNAcentral